CGCCAGUUUCAAAUUUAGCGGCGUUUGCCCUGAUUCCCGGGGCCUGGCUUUCAGCGUAGCAAUUCAGCUGGCGAAGAAGGUGAGGGCAGUGCUGUGUGGCAGCAGAGCUCCUUAAGACGAGGAGCAGCGGGACGAGGAAGGGCAGACUCUGGUGAAAUCGCAAACUGGGCGUCUGUUCCGGCCCGGGACUCCUGUAUGUAAAGGUCCAUGGCUAAUGAAACACAGAAGGUUGGUGCCAUCCGUUUUCCUUUUCCCUUCACGCCCUAUUCCAUCCAGGAAGACUUCAUGGCAGAGCUGUACCGGGUUUUGGAGGCUGGCAAGAUUGGGAUAUUUGAGAGUCCAACUGGCACUGGGAAGUCUUUAAGUCUUAUUUGUGGGGCCCUCUCCUGGCUCCGUGACUUUGAACAGAAGAAGCGUGAAGAAGAGGCACGACUCCUUGAAACUGGAACUGGCCCCUUACAUGAUGAGAAAGAUGAAUCCCUGUGUCUGUCUUCUUCCUGCGAAGGGGCUGCAGGCACCCCGAGGCCUGCUGGAGAACCGGCCUGGGUUACUCAGUUUGUGCAGAAGAAAGAAGAGAGGGACCUGGUGGACCGACUAAAGGCAGAGCAGGCCAGGAGGAAGCAGCGAGAAGAACGCCUACAGCAGCUGCAGCACAGGGUGCAGCUCAAGUAUGCAGCCAAGCGCCUGAGGCAGGAAGAAGAAGAAACGGAGAAUCUCCUCCGCCUCAGCAGGGAGAUGCUAGAGACAGGCCUGGGGGCUGAGCGGCCGGAGCAGCUGGAGUCUGGGGAGGAGGAGCUGGUCCUUGCCGAAUACGAGAGUGAUGAGGAGAAAAAGGCGGCGAGCGGAGUGGAUGAGGAUGAGGAUGACCUGGAGGAAGAACACGUAACUAAGAUUUAUUACUGUAGUCGGACACACUCCCAGCUGGCCCAGUUUGUGCAUGAGGUGAAGAAGAGCCCCUUUGGCAAGGAUGUUCGGCUGGUCUCCCUCGGCUCCCGGCAGAACCUUUGUGUAAAUGAAGACGUGAAAAGCCUAGGUUCUGUGCAGCUUAUCAACGACCGCUGUGUGGACAUGCAGAGGAGCAGGCACGGUAGCCACCGGGACCAUGGUGUAGCCAUAGGCAGUCUGGAGAGAGUGAGGGGGGGUGGCAGUGACUGAAGACCAUUAAGUGUCUUGCAUAGAAAGAAUGGCAGAGGAGACCCCAGUUCCUUCCUGAGUCCCCUCUUCCUUGGGAAAAAGUGUUCCUACUCUCUGGGUCAGUGUCUGGUCCGAAUCCUUGGCUUGGAGAUGAUUUUACAGGCUCUUUCUGGAAAACAAAAGUAAAACCUUAUAGUGUUCUGAUGAGACCACAGUAGGCAGUAUUUGGGAGGGUCUUACAGACCCCACCCCAUGGAAGUGGGUCUCAACAUUACAGAACCCCCUCUCGGGCCCGUGGACAGUUGCUGUCUUCUCUGUUUUCUCUCUUUGUGCCUGUGCCACCCUCAGAGAAGAAAGGAGCUGAGGAGGAGAAGCCAAAGAGAAGGAGGCAGGAGAAGCAGGUGGCCUGCCCCUUCUACAACCAUGAGCAGAUGGGCCUCCUCCGGGACGAGGCCCUGGCAGAGGUGAAGGAUAUUGAGCAGCUGCUGGCCCUUGGGAAGGAGGCCCGUGCCUGUCCCUAUUACGGGAGCCGCCUUGCCAUCCCUGCAGCCCAGCUGGUGGUGCUGCCCUAUCAGAUGCUGCUGCAUGCGGCCACUCGGCAGGCUGCGGGCAUCCGGCUGCAGGACCAGGUGGUGAUCAUCGACGAGGCGCACAACCUGAUCGACACCAUCACGGGCAUGCACAGCGUGGAGGUCAGCGGCUCCCAGCUCUGCCAGGCCAUUCCCAGCUGCUGCAAUACAUGGAGCGAUACGGGAAGCGUUUGAAGGCCAAGAACCUGAUGUACCUGAAGCAGAUCCUAUAUUUGCUGGAGAAAUUCGUGGCCGUGCUGGGGGGGAACAUUAAGCAAAAUCCCAAUACACAGAGCCUGUCACAGACAGGGACGGAGCUGAAGACCAUCAACGACUUUCUCUUCCAGAGCCAGAUCGACAACAUCAACCUGUUCAAGGUGCAGCGAUACUGUGAGAAGAGCAUGAUCAGCAGAAAGCUCUUUGGAUUCACUGAACGGUACGGAGCAGUGCUCUCAUCCCGGGAGCAGCCCAAACUGGCUGGGUUUCAGCAAUUCCUGCAGAGCCUGCAGCCCAGGACGACUGAAGCUCUUGCAGCCCCUGCAGACGAGAGUCAGGCCAGCGCCCCACGACCAGCUUCCCCACUGAUGCACAUCGAAGGCUUCCUGGCAGCUCUCACUGCGGCCAACCAGGACGGCAGGGUCAUCCUGAGCCGCCAAGGCAGCCUCAGUCAGAGCACCCUGAAAUUUCUGCUCCUGAAUCCAGCUGUGCACUUUGCCCAAGUGGUGAAGGAAUGCCGGGCAGUGGUCAUUGCGGGGGGGACCAUGCAGCCGGUGUCUGACUUCCGGCAGCAGCUGCUGGCCUGUGCAGGGGUGGAAGCUGAGCGCGUGGUGGAGUUUUCUUGUGACAACAUCCUGCCCCUUGUCAUCUGCAGUGGGAUCUCCAACCAGCCGCUGGAAUUCACCUUCCAGAAAAGAGAGCUGCCUCAGAUGAUGGACGAGGCGGGUCGCAUCCUCUGUAACCUCUGCGGUGUGGUUCCUGGAGGGGUGGUCUGUUUCUUCCCCUCCUACGAGUACCUGCGCCAGGUCCAUGCCCACUGGGAGAAGGGUGGCCUGCUGGGCCGUCUGGCUGCCAGGAAGAAGAUAUUCCAGGAACCUAAGAGCGCACACCAGGUGGAGCAGGUGCUGGUGGCGUAUUCCAGGUGCAUCCAGGCCUGUGGCCAGGAGAGAGGCCGGGUGACAGGGGCCCUGCUCCUCUCUGUGGUUGGAGGAAAGAUGAGUGAAGGGAUCAACUUCUCUGACAACCUAGGCCGGUGUGUGGUGAUGGUGGGCAUGCCCUUCCCCAACAUCAGGUCUCCAGAGCUGCAGGAGAAGAUUGCUUACUUGGAUCAAACCCUUCCCAGAGCCCCAGGCCAGGCGCCCCCAGGGAAGGCUCUGGUGGAGAACCUGUGUAUGAAGGCUGUCAACCAGUCCAUAGGCAGGGCCAUCAGGCACCAGAAGGAUUUUGCCAGCAUAGUGCUCCUGGACCAGCGGUAUGCCCGGCCCCCUGUCCUGGCCAAGCUGCCGGCCUGGAUCCAAGCCCAUGUGGAGGUCAAAGCUACCUUUGGCCCCGCCAUUGCUGCUGUGCAGAAGGUCAGUCCUACCUUUUUCUUUCUGAGAGCCUCCCCACCCCGAGAUCACAUUUCUCACUGCCUUCUGUCUGUCUGUCCAGUUUCACCGGGAGAAGUCGGCCUCUUCCUGAUGGGCAACCACACCACUGCCUGGCGCCGCACACUUCCUUUGUCCCGCCCGCUGGAGACAGUGUUUGUCAUGGGCCUGGUCUGCAGGGAUCCUGUUACAAAGGUGAAACCCAGGAGGAGAGUGUGGAGUCCAGAGCGCUGCCAGGACGCAGGCGCAGGCAUUAGCUCCCGUAGGAGAAAAUAGGGGAAUCCUGAAGUAACAGUGGGUCCUGGCUGUCCUUGGGGCGUUCCAGGGCAGCUCCCCUCCUGGAAUAGAAUCUUUCUUUCCAUCCUGCGUGGCCGAGAGCCAGGCUUCCUGCCUG
RNAcentral lists this small RNA (3680 nucleotides) under Pongo abelii (Sumatran orangutan). Its description in RNAcentral is "retained intron". The record is from RNAcentral. Lineage: Eukaryota; Metazoa; Chordata; Mammalia; Primates; Hominidae.